This 160-nucleotide small RNA is filed under the name human gut metagenome. RNAcentral's name for it is "Clostridiales-1 RNA". It matches the Rfam family "Clostridiales-1 RNA". The record is from RNAcentral.
GAUGCCAGGGUCAAAAGCCAAAAACCACGAUGUGCUUGCAAAGGAGUGGUUUUAUGGCUUAGUGACCCGCCCGAUAUGAGGAUAAAAGUAGGGCGUAUGCCUACGAUAUCCGAAUAUUGGGCAGGAUUGUGGAAGUGCGAAGCACGAAACAAUCCGUCUG